RNAcentral lists this transfer RNA (72 nucleotides) under Camelus bactrianus (Bactrian camel). It matches the Rfam family "tRNA". Rfam says of the family: Transfer RNA (tRNA) molecules are approximately 80 nucleotides in length. Their secondary structure includes four short double-helical elements and three loops (D, anti-codon, and T loops). The record is from Rfam by way of RNAcentral. RNAcentral also lists the same sequence under 2 other names. Lineage: Eukaryota; Metazoa; Chordata; Mammalia; Artiodactyla; Camelidae.
GAGGGUAUUGCUCAGUGGUAGAGCGUGCGCUCGGCGUGCACAAGGUCCUGAGUUCAAUCCUCAGUACCUCCA